GCGCUUUUGGAGCGGCCGAUGUCUGAUUAGCUAGUUGGUGAGGUAAAGGCUUACCAAGGCGUCGAUCAGUAGCUGGUCUGAGAGGACGACCAGCCACACUGGGACUGAGACACGGCCCAGACUCCUACGGGAGGCAGCAGUGGGGAAUUUUGGACAAUGGGGGAAACCCUGAUCCAGCCAUGCCGCGUGAGUGAAGAAGGACUUCGGGUUGUAAAGCUCUUUCAGCCGGAACGAAACGGUCACGGCUAAUAUCCGUGACAACUGACGGUACCGGAAGAAGAAGCACCGGCUAACUACGUGCCAGCAGCCGCGGUAAUACGUAGGGUGCGAGCGUUAAUCGGAAUUACUGGGCGUAAAGCGUGCGCAGGCGGUUUUGUAAGUCAGAUGUGAAAUCC
RNAcentral lists this ribosomal RNA (395 nucleotides) under uncultured ammonia-oxidizing bacterium. RNAcentral's name for it is "bacterial SSU rRNA". It matches the Rfam family "Bacterial small subunit ribosomal RNA", at positions 215 to 602 of the family's 1533-position model. The record is from RNAcentral.